This 468-nucleotide ribosomal RNA is filed under the name uncultured bacterium. RNAcentral's name for it is "partial 16S ribosomal RNA". It matches the Rfam family "Bacterial small subunit ribosomal RNA", at positions 28 to 507 of the family's 1533-position model. The record is from RNAcentral.
GACGAACGCCGGCGGCGUGCUUAACACAUGCAAGUCGAACGGAAAGGCCCUGCUUUUGUGGGGUGCUCGAGUGGCGAACGGGUGAGUAACACGUGAGUAACCUGCCCUUGACUUUGGGAUAACUUCAGGAAACUGGGGCUAAUACCGGAUAGGAGCUCCUGCUGCAUGGUGGGGGUUGGAAAGUUUCGGCGGUUGGGGAUGGACUCGCGGCUUAUCAGCUUGUUGGUGGGGUAGUGGCUUACCAAGGCUUUGACGGGUAGCCGGCCUGAGAGGGUGACCGGCCACAUUGGGACUGAGAAAGGACCCAGACUCCAACGGGAGGCAGCAGUGGGAAAUAUUGCACAAAGGGCGGAAGCCUGAUGCAGCAACGCCGCGUGCGGGAUGACGGCCUUCGGGUUAUAAACCGCUUUCGCCUGUGACGAAGAGUGAGUGACGGUAAUGGGUAAAGAAGCACCGGCUAACUACGUG